CAAAAUGGAGCUCAACGUUUUAUAUAAAUUCCCUAUGACUUUGUGAUUAUGAUCGUGAUCAUUUUGAAAUCCCAUUUAAUUAAGUCUACACAAAUCUUGGUUAUAUUUGACACAAAAUAGCCCUGUUCUAUGAAACUGUUUAAUGCAAUCAGAGGUGGAUUUAAAAGAACAGGGGGCCCUCCCCUCCCCUUUGUCGAAAAAUUUUGGUUGCUUAUUAAGGGAAUUACUGAAGCGUUACGGGAUCGGCCCCUCUCAAUAGACAGUAAGUGGGCAC
RNAcentral lists this long non-coding RNA (274 nucleotides) under Mytilus galloprovincialis (Mediterranean mussel). Lineage: Eukaryota; Metazoa; Mollusca; Bivalvia; Mytilida; Mytilidae. The record is from RNAcentral.